GACGAACGCUGGCGGCGUGCCUAAUACAUGCAAGUCGAGCGGACCGGAUUGGGGCUUGCCUUGAUUCGGUCAGCGGCGGACGGGUGAGUAACACGUGGGCAACCUGCCCGCAAGACCGGGAUAACUCCGGGAAACCGGAGCUAAUACCGGAUAACACCGAAGACCGCAUGGUCUUCGGUUGAAAGGCGGCCUUUGGGCUGUCCCUUGCCGAGCGGCCCGCGGCGCAUUAGCUAGUUGGUGAGGUAACGGCUCACCAAGGCGACGAUGCGUAGCCGGCCUGAGAGGGUGACCGGCCACACUGGGACUGAGACACGGCCCAGACUCCUACGGGAGGCAGCAGUAGGGAAUCUUCCGCAAUGGGCGAAAGCCUGACGGAGCGACGCCGCGUGAGCGAAGAAGGCCUUCGGGUCGUAAAGCUCUGUUGUGAGGGACGAAGGAGCGCCGUUCGAAGAGGGCGGCGCGGUGACGGUACCUCACGAGAAAGCCCCGGCUAACUACGUGCCAGCCGCCGCCGUAA
This 517-nucleotide ribosomal RNA is filed under the name uncultured bacterium. RNAcentral's name for it is "partial 16S ribosomal RNA". It matches the Rfam family "Bacterial small subunit ribosomal RNA", at positions 28 to 523 of the family's 1533-position model. The record is from RNAcentral.